AGGGUAUUAACCUCGCGCUUUUCUUCCCCACUGAAAGUGCUUUACAACCCGCAGGCCUUCUUCACACACGCGGCAUUGCUGGAUCAGGCUUGUGGCCCAUUGUCCAAUAUUCCCCACUGCUGCCUCCCGUAGGAGUAAGGGCCGUGUCUCAGUCCCCUUGUGGCCGUUCACCCUCUCAGGCCGGCUAGCCAUCGUCGGCUUGGUAGGCCAUUACCCUACCAACUACCUAAUGGCACGCAAAGCUCUCCUCUAGCGCAUAUAGCCUUCCAUGAGUUCCCCAUGCGAGGAUCUCAUAAUAUCCGGAAUUAUUGGGCGUAAAGCGCGUCUAGGCGGUCUUUUAAGUCUGAUGUUAAAAUGCGGGGCUCAACUCCGUAUUGCGUUGGAAACUGGAAGACUAGAGUAUCAGAGAGGUGGGCGGAACUACAAGUGUAGAGGUGAAAUUCGUAGAUAUUUGUAGGAAUGCCGAUUGGGAAGCCAGCUCACUGGAUGAAUACUGACGCUGAAGCGCGAAAGCGUGGGGAGCAAACGGGAUUAGAUACCCCGGUAGUCCACGCCGUAAACGAUGAUCACUAAGUGUGGGGGGUCGAACCUCCGUGCUCAAGCUAACGCGAUAAGUGAUCCGCCUGGGGAGUACGCACGCAAGUGUGAAACUCAAAGGAAUUGACGGGACCCGCACAAGCGGUGGAGCAUGUGGUUUAAUUCGACGCAACGCGAGGAACCUUACCAGCCCUUGACAUCCUCAGAACUUAGCAGAGAUGCUUUGGUGCCACUUCGGUGGAACUGAGUGACAGGUGGUGCAUGGCUGUCGUCAGCUCGUGUCGUGAGAUGUUGGGUUAAGUCCCGCAACGAGCGCAACCCCUUCCGUAUGUUACCAUCAUUAAGUUGGGGACUCAUGCGAUACUGCCGGUGACAAACCGGAGGAAGGUGGGGAUGACGUCAAGUCAUCAUGCCCCUUAUGGGCUGGGCUACACACGUGCUACAAUGGGCGAUACAGAGAGUCGCAAUACCGCGAGGUGGAGCUAAUCUCAGAAAGUCGUUCUUAGUUCGGAUCGCAGUCUGCAACUCGACUGCGUGAAGUUGGAAUCGCUAGUAAUCGCGAAUCAGCAAUGUCGCGGUGAAUACGUUCUCGGGUCUUGUACACACCGCCCGUCACACCACGAGAGUUGGUUGCACCUGAAGUAGCAGGCCUAACCCGUUUACGGGAGGGAUGUUCCUAAGGUGUGGUUAGCGAUU
This 1233-nucleotide ribosomal RNA is filed under the name metagenome. RNAcentral's name for it is "bacterial SSU rRNA". The stretch from base 259 to 1233 matches the Rfam family "Bacterial small subunit ribosomal RNA". The record is from RNAcentral.